Molecule: long non-coding RNA, 218 nt
Filed under: Phoenix dactylifera (date palm)
Lineage: Eukaryota; Viridiplantae; Streptophyta; Magnoliopsida; Arecales; Arecaceae
Description: long non-coding RNA (PDAC_LNC011820)
Source: RNAcentral
AUGAAGCAUCUUCGUUACAAAUGGGACAAGCCAAAUAACCUUUUGUUGGCCAUCCAGACAUGUUACCAUAUACAGGAAAGUCAUUAAUGGUCCACAUGAGAGCAGCACGCAUUCUAAAUGUACUUCCACUAGAGGCAUCAUAAGUUUGCACGCCAUCCUUCCAAAGCUCUUUCAACUCAUCAAUUAAUGGCCUCAAGUAAACAUCUAUUUCUUUACCG